Molecule: ribosomal RNA, 454 nt
Filed under: uncultured bacterium
Lineage: Bacteria
Description: bacterial SSU rRNA
Rfam family: Bacterial small subunit ribosomal RNA
Source: RNAcentral
UACGGAAGGCAGCAGUGGGGAAUAUUGCACAAUGGGCGCAAGCCUGAUGCAGCCAUGCCGCGUGUAUGAAGAAGGCCUUCGGGUUGUAAAGUACUUUCAGUCGUGAGGAAGGUGUUAAGGUUAAUAACCUUAGCAAUUGACGUUAGCGACAGAAGAAGCACCGGCUAACUCCGUGCCAGCAGCCGCGGUAAUACGGAGGGUGCGAGCGUUAAAUCGGAAUUACUGGGCGUAAAGGGCACGCAGGCGGUUAAUUAAGUUGGAUGUGAAAUCCCCGGGCUUAACCUGGGAAUGGCAUUCAAGACUGGUCAGCUAGAGUCUUGUAGAGGGGGUAGAAUUCCAUGUGUAGCGGUGAAAUGCGUAGAGAUGUGGAGGAAUACCGGUGGCGAAGGCGGCCCCUGGGACAAAGACUGACGCUCAUGUGCGAAAGCGUGGGGAGCAAACAGGAUUAGAUACC